This 591-nucleotide ribosomal RNA is filed under the name Triticum aestivum (bread wheat). RNAcentral describes it as "partial small subunit ribosomal RNA". The record is from RNAcentral. Lineage: Eukaryota; Viridiplantae; Streptophyta; Magnoliopsida; Poales; Poaceae.
AUGGCGACUUCGUUCCAGGGGACGACCACCAAGUGCAACGCCUGCGACAAGACGGUGUACCUCGUCGACAAGCUCACCGCCGACAACCGGGUCUACCACAAGGCCUGCUUCAGGUGCCACCACUGCAAGGGCACCCUCAAGCUCGCAAAUUACAACUCGUUCGAAGGAGUGCUCUACUGCAGGCCUCACUUUGACCAGCUCUUCAAGAGGACCGGGAGCCUGGACAAGAGCUUCGAAGGCACUCCAAAGGUUGUCAAGCCAGAAAGGAAUGUUGGGAAUGAGAAUGCUACUAAAGUCUCCAGCGCAUUUGCUGGCACUAGAGAGAAAUGUUUUGGAUGCAGCAAGACAGUCUAUCCAAUUGAGAGGGUUACUGUGAAUAACACUAUGUACCACAAGAGCUGCUUCAAAUGCUGCCAUGGAGGGUGCACCAUCAGCCCUUCGAAUUACAUCGCGCACGAGGGCAAGCUCUUCUGCAAGCACCACCACACCCAGCUGAUCAAAGAGAAGGGUAAUUUCAGCCAGCUCGAGAACGACCACGACAAGACAUCACAGAGUGCCGGGUCAGUGGAUGAUGAAGACUCGGAGUAUUAG